UUUCCGGUUGAUCCUGCCGGACCUGACUGCUAUCGGAUUGAUACUAAGCCAUGCGAGUCUUUGUAGUAAUACAAGGCAGACGGCUCAGUAACACGUAGUCAACCUACCCUAUGGACAAGAAUAAUCUCGGGAAACUGGGCAUAAUUCUUGAUAGAUCAUAAUGCCUGGAAUGGUUUAUGGUUAAAAUGAUUCGUCGCCAUAGGAUGGGACUGCGGCCUAUCAGCUUGUUGGUGAGGUAAUGGCCCACCAAGGCGAUUACAGGUACGGGCUCUGAGAGGAGAAGCCCGGAGAUGGGUACUGAGACACGGACCCAGGCCCUAUGGGGCGCAGCAGGCGAGAAAACUUUGCAAUGUGCGAAAGCACGACAAGGUUAAUCCGAGUGAUUUCUGCUAAAGAAAUCUUUUGCCAGUCAUAAAACCACUGGUGAAUAAGGGGUGGGCAAGUUCUGGUGUCAGCCGCCGCGGUAAAACCAGCACCUCAAGUGGUCAGGAUGAUUAUUGGGCCUAAAGCAUCCGUAGCCGGCUUUGUUAGUUUUCGGUUAAAUCCAUGUGCUCAACGCAUGGGCUGCCGAAAAUACUGCAUAGCUAGGGAGUGGGAGAGGUAGACGGUACUCAGUAGGAAGGGGUAAAAUCCUUUGAUCUAUUGAUGACCACCUGUGGCGAAGGCGGUCUACCAGAACACGUUCGACGGUGAGGGAUGAAAGCUGGGGGAGCAAACCGGAUUAGAUACCCGGGUAGUCCCAGCUGUAAACGAUGCAGACUCGAUGAUGCAUUGGCAUAAUAGCCAGUGCAGUGUCGCAGGGAAGCCGUUAAGUCUGCCGCCUGGGAAGUACGUACGCAAGUAUGAAACUUAAAGGAAUUGGCGGGGGAGCACCACAAGGGGUGAAGCCUGCGGUUCAAUUGGAUUCAACGCCGGGA
RNAcentral lists this ribosomal RNA (917 nucleotides) under uncultured archaeon. RNAcentral's name for it is "SSU rRNA". It matches the Rfam family "Archaeal small subunit ribosomal RNA", at positions 1 to 923 of the family's 1478-position model. The record is from RNAcentral.